AUAAUUUAAAAGUUUGAGGAUCACUGUGUGUUACUUUAUAUAAAUAUAUCUUUCUUUUUAUAGGAUAUUAGACAUUUCUUAUAUUAUUGUAUACUAUAUUAGUUUCCUUACCAAUUCACGAUUCAUCAUGUAUUAGCUUAACCUCUCUUUAUAUAAAGAGGUCUUUUGUAAUUUAUCAAAUCAAAAAGAAAUAUAUUUCUUCUCCAAUUAUCCUUUGUUUUCAUGGUAUCAGAGCGCGACUAACUUAAUCCGCAAAAGCUUGUCGUCACAAGCUCGCCGUCGGUAUCUCUCGACCUGGUUCUGUCAUGACAUCCGCACCUCCAUCGAUGCCACCUGUACAGGUUCCUACAUCGGCACCUCCAUCGAUGCCGCCUGUACAGGUUCCUACACUAACUAUUGCUCAGCUCGAUGUUAAACUCUCUGGGCCUAAUUAUUGUGAAUGGUUGGUGUCCAUUCAACUCUUGUUUGAUGCUCUCGAUAUUACUGGACAUAUUGAUGGUGCUGGUCCACCAACCGAUGAUUCCAAACUCCAGGACUGGCUUGUUGCUGAUCGACGUGCUCGCGGAAUUAUUUCUACAUCGGUAAACAUAGACAUUCAGAUGCAGCUUAUCAAUUUGUCCACCGCUCACCAGAUGUGGUCUCCUCUUCGACAAAUGUAUGAGCAGUCUAGUUAUGCUCAAUCGUAUGCUAAGUUUCAAGAGAUCUCCAUGGCUCAUCAAGGUGAGCGUAGUAUCCAAGAGUUUUACAGUUUUAUGUAGGCUCGUUGGCGUCAACUAGCGACCAUGGAUGAACCCUUGUGUCGCACUUGCUCAACUUGUCAGUGUACUGUCAAGCAAAAGUAGGUGCGUGAUCAACAACGAUUGUUCCAGUUUCUUAUGCGCCUACGACCUGAGUUUGAAGCGUUACAUGGCCAACUACUCCAUCGAACUCCCUUCCCUACUAUUGAUGUGGCUCUCGCGGAAUUGAUUGCUGAGGAGACACGUCUUCGAGUUUGGAGUUCCUCUGCUUUUGCAAUGCCUAAUGUUCUUGCUGCUCAUGGUCCUACCAAUCCACCUUCUGUGCCAGCGCCUACUUCUCAUCAUCAACCGCCUUCUAGUUACUUUCCAAAUCCUAGUACUAGAAAAGACAAACGGAGCAUUCAAUGUCGUUACUGUCAUCUUUGGAGCCACUCAAUUCAAGAUUGCCGGAAAAAGAAAUGGGCAGAUCAGCAUUUACGAUCCUCUUGUAAUAUGCCUACUGUUGCAUCUGCUCUUUCUGUUCCUCCGGUCAACAACGCAUCAUCUAUAAAGCAGCAACCUUCAACUAUUAAAUUGAGUCUUCCUCAACUGCUGCAGAUGUUUUAGCAACACCAGUUGACUCUAUCUACUUUGUCAGGGCAGUCCUCCUCUAUCUUUCCAUCUACGCCAUCAGGUUUUGGUAUGACUGGUCCUGGAGGUACUUCGGAAAAUUCCUAGAUUUUAGACUCAGGCGCAUUAUUUCAUAUGACACAACAUGCUUCUUUACUUUCUUCACCUUCUCAAUUAAAUUCACCUUCACACAUAUUUACUGCUGAUGGUACCUCUCUUUCUGUCAAUAAUAGUGGCGCUGUUUCACCUAAAUCUGAUACUUCAGGACGCUUUACUAUUCCCUCUGUCCUACAUAUACCACGACUCUCUCUUAACUUAUUAUCUUUUAGCCAAAUUAUUGAUCAUGAUUGCAGAGUGACCUUUGAUUUUUCUUCUUGUCGUGUGCAGAAUCGUCGGACAGGGACUUUGAUUAGACAGGGUCAUAGACAUGACUGCCUAUACUACAUGGACUAUCUGCACCUUUCUUCUAAAAUUAACUCAGCAAAUAUUGCUACAACUUCAAAUUCUGAUCUAUGGCAUCGUCGUCUAGGUCAUCUAUCUUCUGAUAAGUUUACUGUUUUAGUUCGUAGUGGUGUAUUAGGCCCUGUUUUUAAUUUCGAAUCUGUUGUUUUCAUUGGAUGCAAACUUGCUAAACAUUCCAUUAAACCUUUUCUUGUUAGCAAUUCUGUUUCAAGUGCACCAUUUGAUCUUAUUCACUCUGAUGUUUGGGGACCGGCACCUAUAUCAACCCGUGUUGGAAAUAAAUAUUAUGUUAUUUUCAUUGACGAUUACUCACGCUUUACCUGGGUUUAUUUUAUGCAUAACAAAUAUGAACUUUUUCAAUUGUAUCAAAAUUUCUCCGCCAUGGUUCAAACUCAAUUUGGUGCCACUAUUAAAACUUUCCGCUCUGAUUCUGGUGGCGAGUAUCUUUCAAAUGAAUUUCGCCAACUUCUCGCUAAACAUGGUACUUUGCCGCAACUCUCUUGUCCUUAUACUCCUCAACAGAAUGGUGUUACUGAGCAUAAACACCGACAUAUCCUUGAAACCGCUCGAUCUCUUCUAAUUGAUGGGUCCGUGCCUAAACAAUUUUGGGCUGAUGCGAUUUCUACCGCAAUUUAUUUGAUUAAUAUUAUGCACUCCAGUCUUUUCUCUGGCUUUUCUCCUAGUGAGCAAUUGUAUGCUAAAUCACUAUUUUAUACUCAUUUGCGUGCUUUUGGAUGUCCUUGUCUUGUUGUCUUGUUCUCUUGCCUCCGCAUGAACGAACCAAACUAACUUCGAAAUCAUCAAUUUGUGUUUUCUUAAUUAGGAUAUAGUCUUAAGCAUAAAGGGUAUAGAUGUUAUGAUCCUACUGCUCGUCGCAUGCGAAUCUCUCAAGAUGUCAUUUUUCUUAAACAUUUAUCAUAUUAUGCUCAAUCUAAGUUAAGUGUUGAUCCCUCUGCUGUUUCUUCACCUUCUGUUAUUGAUCUUUCAUUUCUUGUUAAUUCUUCGUCGACCACCACAUCUUCUCCCGAAGAGCCCCAACGCAUUGUCUCUCAGCCCACUGCAUCUUCGUCUUCUGUAGAAGUUUCUAUAGUACCGGCACCUCCUGACGACCCACCAAUUAUUGUUCCUUCUGACGAUCAGACGACUACUGAGCGCCGUUAUCCACUGACUUACCGCCCCACACAAUUUUUUGGUUGUCUUGCCGCUCCUUCUUUUUCUCCACGAUAUCAUGCUUUUCUUGCAGCUAUUUCUAAUAUCCAGGAACCACGUACAUAUCGCAAGGCCGUUUCUAUUCCUAAAUGGCGAGAUGCAAUGACCACAGAACUUACUGCCCUUCAUCGUACUGGUACCUGGGAACUAGUUCCUCUCCCGCCUAGCAAGACUCCAAUCAGUUGUAAGUGGAUUUAUAAAGUCAAGACAAAGUCUGAUGGUUCAAUUGAUAGCUAUAAGGCUCGUUUAGUUGCUCGAGGGUUCUCUCAAGAAUAUGACAUUGAUUAUGAGGAGACAUUCGCCCCUGUUGCUAAGAUAAUCUCUGUUCGCAUCCUUAUUGCUCUUGCUGCUUCUCGUAGUUGGCCUCUUUACCAACUUGAUGUAAAAAUGCCUUCUUACAUGGGGAUCUUCAUGAAGAAGUUUAUAUGCAACCACCUCAUGUUCUUUCUCAUUCAUCCGGUCAUGUUUGUCGGCUUCGGAAGGCUUUAUAUGGCCUUAAACAAGCUCCCCGAGCUUGGUUUGAAAAAUUUAAGCAUGCUAUUCUUUCUUUUGGAUUUCAUUAAAGCGAAAAUGAUAAUGCCUUAUUUAUUCAUACUUCUACUCGCGGGCUCACUGCGUUAUUUUUAUAUGUUGAUGAUAUGAUAAUUACUGGCGAUGAUUUCGAUUGUAUUCGUUCCGUUAAAUCCUGUCUCCAGCAACAAUUUGACAUGAAAGAUCUUGGCCCUCUUCGAUAUUUUUUGGGGAUUGAAGUGGCAUAUAGUCCUCGAGGAUAUAUAUUGUCUCAACAAAAAUACACUGCUGACUUGCUAUCUCGUGCUGAGCUCACAGAUAAUGGCACUGUGAGUAUUCCUAUGCAGCUUCACCAAAAACUAACUCCAACUAUGGGCAAACCUCUCACUAAUCCUACGCGUUAUCGUGAGCUAGUUGGUGCGUCAGUCUAUCUCACUAUAUCUCGCCCCGACAUUGCUUAUGCGGUUUAUAUUGUUAGUCAAUUUAUACAGGCGCCUACUUCUGUUCACUAUACUGCUCUUUUACGUAUCUUGCGCUAUUUGCGAGGAAGUAUUCAUCAAAGUCUAUUCUUUUCUUCCUCUUCCAAGCCUCAACUUCAUGCCUAUUGUGAUGUUGAUUGGGCUGGAAAUCCUACUGAUCGUCGGUCUACGACUGGCUAUUGCGUUUUCUUUAGAGAUUCUCUGAUUUCUUGGAGUUCAAAGAAAUAAGAUAUUGUCGCCAAAUCUAAUACGGAAGCUGAAUAUUGUGCUAUGUCCUCUGUCGCCUCAGAAAUUGUAUGGAUUCGCCGACUCCUUGGUGAUUUCGGUGUCCAGUGCUCUACUUCCACACCUUUAUAUUGUGACAAUCAAAGUGCUAUCAAAAUUGCGAAUAAUUCUGUCUUCCAUGAACAUACUAAACAUAUCGAAAUUGAUUGUCACUUUGUGCGCUAUCAUUAUAUUAAUGGAUCGAUAUCUCUGCCGUUCGUUCCCUCUGCUGAACAACUUGCUGAUUUUUUCACCAAAUCUCAGACUACUCAACGACAUCAAUACCUUCUAUCCAAACUCUCAUUGUUUACUCCACCUUGAGUUUGCGGGGGUGUGUUACUUUAAAUAAAUAUUUCUUUUUUUUUACAGGAUAUUAGACAUUCCUUAUAUUAUUAUAUACUAUAUUAGUUUCCUUACCAAUUCAUAAUUCACCAUGUAUUAGCUUGAUCUCUCUUUAUAUAAAGAGGUCUUUUAUAAUUUAUCAAAUAAAAAAGAAAUAUAUUUCUUCUCCAAUUAUCCUUUGUUUUUACUGUGAAACCUUUUUUUCUUUUUUUUUUUGAGAGAGAGAGAGAGAGAGAGAGAGAAAGAAUGUGGGGAGCUUAGCAUCCUACACUAGAAUUCGAAUCGAUCCAUGAUCCUUCCACACCCUAGCUACUCAGAUGCCAAGCCUUACUAUUAGGAUACCUACGAGUAAUAGUUUAUGGCUGGUGGUGGUGCGAUGCAUCUGUAUGGAGUGAAACAAUUAAUAGAUGUAGUAUACCAUCAACUAUAUGUGUAAUAUCUCUCAGAAUUAAAGCUGGUAAAAGAUAUGGAGGGAUCGUCGAUCGUCAAUGGUAGAGCAGUGUUGGUGGCGAAGCAUUUCUGAUCAUGUUGCCUCCCAUUCAUGGAAAGGCUCUGCAUGCAGUGGCUGAAAGUUGCCCUCCCCAUUAAUUGCCUCCUGCCUUUAUGCAAAGUGGCCGGCAAGAGCUAAGAUCAUCACCAAAUGUUCAAUUCAUUGCAGUCAAAUCAUUCACGCAAUAAGAAUGCAGGAUUGAGUUCCAUUAAUAUUGUACUUAAAUUCUACAACAGUAUGUAUGCGUGUUUUGGAUAUCUGAACAAGUUAUCUUCUGAUAAUAUAACUUAGUAAAAACGUACAGAACUUAUCUAAAUUUUAGACCAUUUUAAGUUGGUUGUCCAAUUUAUCAAAAUUUUAAUUUUACUAUCCAACAUUUCAAUUUGUUUAAUUUGAGUUUGUCAACGACAAUAAUUUGAUUUUAAAAUUUGAAUCUAUUAUUUAUUUUUACUGAUUUAAUUAGCAUAUUUCAUACAAUUCUAGCUUGUAAUUAUAAAUUUACUAAAAUAAUUUGCUAAAUUUUGAAUUUGAAGUUUUGUUGACUAAUUCGAAUCAAACAAGUUAAAAGAUUGGAUAGCAAAUUAAAAUUUUAAAAGAAUAAAUACCAGACUCAAAAUAGUCCAUAAUUCAAGUAUGUUCUAUGCGUUUUUAAAAUAAUGACGAUUUAGCUCUUUUAGCCCUUUACGAGACGUUAGUACAGUCAGAAUUCGUCAGAACGGUGUUUUCCACUAACAAGAUAAUUUAUUAUAUUUAAAGAAAAUAAUUUGAAAAUCGAAUAUAAUUUGCGUAACAGAUAUCUAGUCAUACGCCUCUAAUUAUACCCUUCAUCUACCAACUAUUACCCUGGUAACUACUGAGUAAAUAAAAACGAUAUGCUAGUAAAAUAUUCAUGCAUUCAAACAAGGCGAAGAGAUUGAAAUAUUGUAUAUUGCUCCAACUAAUUAAGCUAGGUGCACAUUUUUUCUGGAGAAUGAUCCUGCCGUAAUAUGCCAGGAAGAACUCUGGCAAGUAUUUUAGGAUCUCAUAAUGCCUCCCUACUUACUUUCGGAUAACUCUGCUAAGUUAUUGUCUCUCUAAUGAAUAAAAUUAUUCGGAUAAAUUUGCUCAAUCACUUAAUUAUUCCUGAAUAAUUCUCUUCAGCUGCAGUUUCAGCAUCAAUCUUGGGUUGCAUGGUCUCCUUUGCUCUCCUCUCUUCCUUCAGGAACAAAGCCGCUUGAAAAUAAAACAGCUGCCCUAAGACCAGUUUCGUAUAUAUUGAGAGCCACCUAAAAUUAUCCGCCCAAAAGAAGUUGGGACUGAAACGCAGCCACAAAAAUCAUAUUUUAAGCAAAUUAGUGUUGCAUGCAUUGUUGGCUUAAACGGGUCAGCAUUAUACCCGGUGGCGCGAGGUCGGAUUGAGCUGAGUUGCGUUCGAAAUGGCGUGAGGCUGGGUUGGACCGAGUCAUUUUUGAAGUGGUGUGAGGUUGGUUGAACCGAAUCACAAUAAAAAAUCGUCGGCGCUGUAUCUGUACGUUUUAAAUGAAUUGGUUGCGUAUUUCUAACACCGCGAGUUUUUGGGAUUAAUAGUUAGCGCCAACAAUCCGACAAGCGGUAUCAGAGUCAAAGAUCAAUAAUUCGAUUCCAGCAUGCUGCAAAUUUGUGCAGGUGUUGAAAGGAGGAUUGUUGGCCCGAUUGGGCUGAGUCACAAUCGUGACCCGUGGGGAUCAAGUUGGGUUGAGUUACAAUCGAAAUCCGUGACCAUUAUAUCUGUACACUUUAAGUGAAUUAGUUGUUUUUUUAAUAGCUAAAGUUUUUUGGAAUUAAUAGUUAGCACCAAUGGCAUGCAUGACACGUAAUACGAAAAACAAAUGUAAUACUUUUUUGUUCAUUUUCUGGUCGCGCAUUAUUAUAUGCUUAAUAAUGUGUUAUAUUUUGUCAUUUUGGCUACAAGAGUGAAAAAUGAGCCGAACAUUUAUUCACAUAUACAACAAAUUAGUUGGUCCAAAAAAAAAAAAAAAAACUUGGCGAGAGAAAUGCCGUGCAACUUGAAUGCAGUUUAGUGCAGCAUGCAGCAGUAGGCAGUCCUAAAAGGUCACUUUCUCUGACUCGGAUUCAUCGAAACGGGAAGAAAUUUUUCAGUCCCCACACUCGCUACUUUAUUUGGAGAGCUGAGUAGCUGAGAUAUCCCUUGCGGAGGAUACUGCUGCUGAGUACCCUGGUGCCUGUGUCCAUCUCUUCUCCUUUCAGUACGCGGCUCAUUGAAUGUUAUGUAUGUUAGCUACCACCUCCCUCAAAACUAUACAUAACACCAAGAAAAAGGUUUUAUACCAAAUAACCGUUUAUUAUUAUUAUUUUUUUUAAAAAAAAUAAUUAAUAUAAAAUAACUAUUUAUUUUAAAAACUUAAAUUAUUAAAAAAUAGUGUAAAUGGAUUUGUAAGGCUCCUACUCCAAUAUCAUGUUAAGUUAUAAAAACAACCGUAUAUCUCAAACAUCUUAAGUUAUUAAAAAAAAUAAUAUUUUUAAUAUUUACAUUGAUAUGGACUGCCCAAGAAUAGAUGCAUCCAAGUAUCUGAAGUAUCAUAUCUUUUCUCAUCCCUGGCUUUUGGGCCCUGCAAGCUUAAGAUAAUAUGUAUACCAACUCAUUUGAAGCACAACAACAUCCUCUCCUUUUUCUUUUUAUUUUUUUAUUUUUUCUUUUUUAUUUUUAUCUUUAUUUUUUUGGAAAAAAGUCACGUUGACAAUGAGAUGAAAAUAGUUAAUAAUAAUAAUGAUAAAGGAAAUUAUUAGAUUGCAAUCAUGAAAUAAAAUUGUUGGGAAAGAUUUCUUUUUUGAUAAUAAUGCACCGUAAUUCAAAUUUACUAAACUUAGGUAUUCUAUCAAAAUUUAUUUGCUGAAAUGACCAUCCUGCCCAUCUUCUGUAAACUGCUAAUUCAUGAAGCGGCCAAGUGCAAAAGCUUCAUCUUUCUGCAGAGCCCAGCACCUGAAGCUGUAGAGAGAAUUCUGAAUAAAAAAAAAAACAAAAAACAAAAAAAGCAAGAAGUUCGGAAAAUGCUUCGCCAAAUGCGACUCUCCAACUUAAAACUGUAGGAGAGAAAAGAUGCCUAAAAGUUGCAUCUUUUUAGCUGAUGAAGCUCAUCUGGACGACGAAGCCAAGCGUAAAGCUUGGUCUAAUUAUGCGAAUCAUCAUUCUGUAGUUCUAAUCUCCAGAACAUCAUUAAAUUUUUCAAAUUAAAUUAGAGAGUGAUUCAACUGGACCAGUUUCUAACAUUGCAAACAAAAAGGGCACCCCGGUCAUGAUCGUAACAUCAUCAUCCAUGCCAAUGCAUGGGAUUGGGGACCAAUUAAUGCAUGCUAGAUUGUUAGAUGAUCAAUUUAUUGAUCAUAACAUCAUUCCAUACUAAUGGACCCAUCCAAGAAACUUUGUCUAAUUAGCUCUAUAUUUAUUCAUCAUGAGUUUUAUGCACCCACCAACAUGAAUGCCUUAUAUGGCCUACUUUGAUUAAUCGUCAGAUGAUCAAUUUAUUCGUCAAAGGUACUCAAAAGGCCCAGGUAAUUAAGAAAAUUCAUGACUCGCGGGCACUAAUUUAAUCGAACGAUGAUCUUUUCUAUACAUGCUCUCCAAGUUUAUAUUACAUUUAUCAGAUUAAAUUUUAAUUUUAUAAUAUUAAUCAUUUAUCAGAUUAAAUUUUAAUUUUAUAAUAUUAAUCAUCAAAUACUAAGCAGGACGCGUGAGUUGUAUGGAAACAAAGUGGAAGGGUGAUAUGAUAAACAGUUUGAUAACACUUUUUGCAUGAGAACGACAUAAAGAUAAAAGUUGGUAACCUGCUUGGCAACUCUUUUCUACAAGACUACAAACAGAGGAGAGAGUGAACACCACAAAACUGAUGAUUUUCAUUAAGGUUAAUAUUUAAUGAAAGAGCUAAUUAAGGAGUGUUUAAAUCACUGAACAAUUGAUUGCACUUAUAACUAAACAAUUAGUAAUAAACCUACUAUUAUAACUCACCGAGAAAAUUAGAAAGAGAAGCGACAAUGAUAAUGGCAAGGCAAAGCAUUACACAAAAGAUAUAAAUUAGAUCUGCCACUGAUUCGAUAAAAACUAACAUUAUGAAGGAAAAACAUCAAUCAAAAUAUGUUACUAAAGGGUGAAAUCUACCUCUAAAUCUCUAGUUUCAAUCCAGCAUAUUUUUCAACAAUCAAAAAGCCACAGCACAUUUUACAACUUACAUAACAGUAAGAAACACGAAGAAAGUUGAUGAAUAUUAACACACAUUACGCUCUUUCUUACAGGGUAGACAAUGAAGCAAUCCGGCGGGUGGGCUUAGAAGCCGAUCCCGGCGGCGCCGAUGGGCCGAUGCCGCUCCUUCCAGAAGCAGGCAUCAGGCGCGAGCCUUGCCGACGACCUCAUUGGCUCCGAUUUGCACCGCGUUAGUACGAACGGCCCGAACGGCGCCAUAGGCGGGGGCGCUGGCACCGCCAGCUUCAGCUUCUGCUCAACCGCCAAUGCGGUGGCUGCCACUGGGGGGUGCGGCAGUGGCGGCGGUUGAGGGGCCGAGACAGCAGGUUUGGUUUGGCCCUUAUCCUCACCGCCCUUGAGGUGGUCAUGUCCGCCGCUUAUCCGUUUAGGUUUGGGCUUGGCGGUGGGCUUGGUUUUGGGUUUGGGUUUGGGUUUGGGUUUGCCAACUGCGCCUUCCUUCGAGGGUUGGCCACCGCCGCCGGGCUGCUGACCGUAGUGCGGCGGCCGCCAUCUGAGGAAAUCGGUGCUGCAGACCCACGUCUCCUUCGACACCUCCAUCGAGAGCUUCGGCUCGUACAUCAUCAGCAGAAGGCACUCCGGCAAUACCCCUUUCUUCUCCCCUUCUUCCUCUUCUUCCUCUUCGUCCUCAUCCUCCUCCUCCACUUCCUCUACCUUCUCCUCUGUUUGCUCCUCUCCACCUCCUUCUUUUCCUUCAUUCUCCUCGCCCUCUCGCCUACCUUCUUCCCCCGCCGCCUGGGUUUCCUCUGUGUUCAUGUAAUCUUCAUUACCAGCCUCCGCUUUUGCCCCCUCCAGAUCCGAAGAGAACUUGCCUUCCUUCUUCAAUUCUUUCGAGGCCUUCUCCGCUUUCAAUCCCUCGCCCUCAAUGGAGAAGCUCCACCUCCGUCGCCCGGCUCUGUCCAGGGAGAAGCUGGAUCUCCGGGCCUCCCGUUCGUUGGAGAAGCUGGGCCGGCGGGCGUCCCUCUCGGUCGAGAAGCUGUGGCGCCUCUUGUCCCUCUCGCGCGACGACGAGGAGCCGCCGCGCCUGCGCACUCCGCACCGCCCCGUUCCCCUCUCUUCUCUGGUUGUAGAGGAGGAGGAGCAGCUGCUGGAUCUCCUGAAUUUCACCUCUUCCCCUUCUUUCUCCUUCUCCUCUACGGCUUUGAGCUCCAUUUCUACUGCUGCUUUGUUCUGCGACUCAGACUCAGCUUCGUCCUUCUGCCGCUCUUCUUCUUCUUCUUCUUCCUCUUCCUCUUUCUCAUCUCCUUCUCCGUGUGGGUUUGUGUGAGGUUUCGCGGCUUCAUCCAAAAUGCAAUCUUUUGGAGCCCUCUCUUCUUCUUCCUCGUCUUCUUCUUCACGCCCUGCUUGAUUCUCUUCUUCAUGUCUCUGCGUCUCCUCUAUCUUCUCCCCGCUUGCUCCUUCUGUUCAGCUCCUACAGCAAAAAGUGCUUCUUGAGAACUCUUUGCAGCUUCCCUCCCCACCAGAUCUGCUUCUACAGCGUCGGCUCCUCCGUCAUUCUCUUCCACACCAACUUCUACACAACCCUCUCCACCCAAUUCAUCUCUCUCUCCACUGUUCUCUUCUUCCUCCUCCUCCUCUUCUUCUUCAUCUUCCUCCUCUUCUUCUUCCUCCUCGUCUUCUCCCUCUUCUUCCUCUUGCACCUUCAUCGACGGAGAUCCCCAGAACCGAUUCGCCAACGCCGCCAUCCGAACCGGAUCGGAUCUACACCGCAUAAGCAACAGCGCAUUCCUCGGCGGCACGCACACACUCACCCUCGCCGCCUCCUCCUCCUCCCCCUCCUCCUCCUCCGCCAUGGAUGCGUCGGCGGAGGACCCCAGCAAGAAGAUCCGGAAACCCUACACCAUCACCAAGUCGCGGGAGAGCUGGACCGAGCCCGAGCACGACAAGUUCCUCGAAGCGCUUCAGCUGUAAGAUUUUAGGUCUAAUUUUAGUUUAUUCUUACUGAUUUUGGAGUCUAAUCGAUUUGGUUGCUAAUGAGUUUUGGUGAAGACCGCAGUUAAAAAUUGGAUUUUUAGGGCUCUUAUCAGUUCAGUUGUGUGAUUUUUCGCACGCGUUUCCUCUGUUUAGGGUUUAGUUGCUUGGUUAUUGACGUAGUUUAGUGGUGGUUUUUUAGCUUCUUAUAAGUUCGAAUUAUGUGAUUUUUUUUUCACAUUGAUUUUCUUUAUUAGUGUCAAAUUAUUUAGUUUUUGAGGGGUUUUGGUAGUGGAGUCGACUAAAAUUUCGAUAUUUUGGGGUUCUUACUAUGUAAAUUUUGGAGUAGGGGGUUCACCAAUGGUGAAGUUCUUUUUAUGCUUGUAAUAAAUUGCUAAUCUAGUCACUUUGUUUCAUCAGGAAUGGCUCGUCGACACAUUCAACUUUGUUUCAACUCAAAUUUUUAAGAAGCAAUUUGUAUAUGUCUAGUCCAUUUGGAAGAGAUUUCAUCUAAAAAUAGUGAUAAAUUAAACAAAGCAUUUCAACAUAAAGAUGUAGGAGAGGAAUAUAGUUCAUCCUUCAUAGUACUUUUAUCUCAAACAGUUUCCUCAAGCCCCUGAGCAUCUAAAAUUUACAACCUCAUAUUAAGACUAUAUCAAGUAAUUCUAUCAAAGCGACAUCAUUUAUAUAUCCGGUUCCACUCAUGACAAUAAGGUUCGAAAUAUGUAGCGGUGGUUCAAUAUGUUCUACGAGUACCGAACUGGUCCGACUUUAUGCUCACUCACGUAUUUGGUUCUUUGUUUUGGUUGCUACAGUUUUGAUCGCGACUGGAAAAAGAUAGGAGCAUUUAUUGGCUCAAAGUCUGUAAUACAGGUAAAAUUUAGUUUAAGCAUAAAUAUAUCGAUGUGGUAAAUUUAUCCUGUGUCUUGUAUUUUAGGGUCCUUUUGUCGGUCUGCUGUGCAAACAACUGUAUUUCUAGGAUCUCCCACAAUUGUAUUUACUCAUCUUUUGUGUUUUUUUUCUUUCUAUCUCUCUGUACCAAUUUGGGAACACUUGAUUAAUUUUAUCUGAGAAGUGGUGCAACACAAUUGUUAUUUGGGUUACUUCCCGUAUUACUAUUGUACCUGAUCUUUGUGUCAUGGACUAUGAUGGAGGAAAGAUGGAGUAAAAUAGUGAUAUAAACACUCAUCUGAGUUGAUAUGUGUGGCGAUAUACUUUUUCAUUGUGCUUGUUGCUUUGUGUUUUUUAUCUUCAGAAAUUAGUGAAUAGGAAUCUGUUUAAGAUCUACUUGAAUAAACUUUACAUCAAGAAACAACAGACAAUUCUUGAAGUUCCUGAACUGCAAUCGCUAAUAUGCAUAUGUAAAGCUUUUUAUAAUUAUAUAUUAGAAUAAUCUUCUUUUCGAUUUUUUGGCACAGAAUUUUAUAUCAUACUGUCUAUAUAUCAUCGAUGUGGAGAUUCAAAGUUUCUCAGUUUGUAUUAACUGUUAAUGAUCCCAUAAUGCAAAUCUAAGCACAAUGUUAAUCUUUUACAGAUCAGAAGCCAUGCACAAAAGUACUUUUUGAAGGUUCAAAAGAAUGGCACGAGUGAACAUUUGCCGCCUCCCCGGCCAAAGCGGAAAGCAUCACAUCCUUAUCCGCAGAAAGCCUCCAAAAAUGGUUUGAAAAUUUCCAAUAAAUAUUAUUCAUCAUUUUUAGUACAACUAAUAAUACAAAUCUUCUAAAAGAAAAUGCAGCUCCCCAAAUUUCUCAAACUACUGUACCACCUCGUGCUGCUGUUCUCUCUUCGGAUUCAUCUUCUAUUGUUAGGAAUUCAAACACGAACAUUCCAGCCUCUUCUUGCGCUAAUACUUCUGUUCAGCCUGCCAGUGCGACUCAUGUGGCAAAAGGUUUAGUCCCAGUGCAUAAUAAUCUCAAAUGUUUUUNGAUAUGAAAACUAAAAGAAAGAAAGAAAUUUCAUCUUGAAUGAAAUCGAUCAUUUGAAUUAGCUUUGGAAAUCUGAAGCAACUUUUAUGAAGCUCACAACAUAAUUCCAAGUGUAAAUGAUCGACUUCUAACUAGAACUCUCUUUGGAGAUUGUAAAAGCUUUAUGUUGAAAGUUUUGCUUAUGAGAUCAAAAUAAUGCUUCUUCUUUUUUACUUCCAAGCACUAGAUGUUUUACAUUUGUCUACUUAGUGAACGCUUCAUUUCACUUCUAUAGUUUAGAAAAUAUAUAAAUAUGUUGGCUUCUGAUUCAACUAUGGAAAAUAGAUUGCAAUAAAAGACAGAAAAAGUAAUGCAAAAUUCUAUUUAAUUAUCAUGUUUGGUCCAAAUUAAGGUUCUAAAGGAAUUCAAAAUUCACAACUUCGUUAUGUGGUGAGAUAGAUCAACAAACUAGAUACCUAAUUGUGUACUUUAGAAACUUUUAUUAGGUUAUGAGAGAGAGAGAGAGAGAGAGAGAGAGAGAGAGGAGGGAAACUCUACAAUUUAAAUAAAAAAUGCUAACAUAGGUAAUCUUGCUUUCAUGAUAAUUCAGAAGUUCAAAGGGUUCACCGUGGUGGAUUAUGUGAAGCUACGUCCCGAGUUAAAAUUACAAUGAAUAUGUUGAGAUUUUAUGGUUACUGGAUGUCAAGUUUCGGAACUCCAUCUAGCAUCGAUGCUCAACUUGAAGUUCCUCAAAACUCAAAACUAUUUUUAGCUAAGCUGGCAGAUGAGUAUCGGUACUCAUUUGUGAGUACCGGUACAUAUGCUAGAGUGUCACAAUUUUUGAAACUUUUGUUUUUGAUACCGGUACUUUAAAUCGUAGCAGAUAAAUUAAGUUAGAUUUGACUCCAACUUGAUCCAUUCUUGUGCUCUAGAGAGAGAGUAAAAUGAGAGAAAGAGAGUCCAGAGAGAGAUUCUUGUAAUCCAAUCUAUUCAUUUUAUUUGUUGUAUCAUAAAAUAAUAAAAGAACGCAUUAAGAAAGUUUUGCCUAUGAAUGUAGGUUGACUUACUAUUGGCUGAACCACGUAAAUAUUUUGUAUUUGCUAUUUUUAUUAUUUUCUUCAUCUGUGUGCUUGCUUUCUACAAAUUGUUCUCACCUAAUUUUUUUUUAUAUAGAUCCAAUUUUUAUUGUGCUUGUGUGCCGUAUGGAUUUGAGGUGUGCUCGAUAACCAAUCAGAUGAUUCCUUCACACCAAGACAAAACUGCCAGCUAUUUGAGUGAGAAAAGAUGGUUCAAAAACUUAUUUCAACUUUUUUCUAGAGAAAAAAUUAUGUCCUCUUUGCAUGCCAAAAGUUGUUGCUUCUUAGUGUAAAGAGGAUAUUUUAGACUCCAUGUCAUUCACUGAAGAAGUGUCACUUGAACGGAGAGUUAAAGUUCAUUGCGAAGUUUCUCAAACUUAUCGUAAAGGCAAAAUCUAACUUCUUGCACCCUAAGAAACGUUUAAGAUGAACUAGAUGGUUGGAAGCGCUUUUCAUAUAAUUAAAGUAAUAUAAAGUGAAAAGUUAUAUAGUUAAAUUAAGGGUAAACUUUGAAUUUCCUCCUUGUGGUUUCAGACUUUCUCAUUUUAGUAUUCUAUGGUUUAAAGUGUAUCAAGUUUGUCCCAGUGAUUUCGCACUUUCUCACUAUAGUCCAUGUGGUUUAAAGUUUAUCAAGUUAGUAACCAUAUGGUUUCAUUUUUCUCUUUUUAUUAUUUAUUUCACUAAUUUUUUUCGUUAAAUCAGUGACAAAGUUAAAAUUAAAGGGUACUAAAGUGAAUAUUUGAUAAACCUAGAUAGGGUAUCUGAAGCUUUUUGUAUAUAAUUUAACGAAAUAUUAACAAAGGAACCGACGAAAAGUGAAAAAUGAAACCACAGGGUAAUAAAUUGAUACACUUUAAACCAUAGAAUACUAAAAUAAGAAAGUGUGAAACCACAAUAUACUAAAUUGAUACAAUUUAAACCACAGGGUACUAAAGUUAAAAAGUGCGAAACCACACGGGUGGUAUUUGAAGCUUUCCCUUAAAUUAAAAUUUCU
Molecule: long non-coding RNA, 15218 nt
Filed under: Ananas comosus (pineapple)
Lineage: Eukaryota; Viridiplantae; Streptophyta; Magnoliopsida; Poales; Bromeliaceae
Description: long non-coding RNA (ACOM_LNC016420)
Source: RNAcentral